AGAGUUUGAUUAUGGCUCAGGAAUGAACGCUAGCUACAGGCUUAACACAUGCAAGUCGAGGGGCAGCAUUGGAGUAGCAAUACUCAGAUGGCGACCGGCGCACGGGUGAGUAACACGUAUCCAACCUGCCGCUUACUCGGGGAUAGCCUUUCGAAAGAAAGAUUAAUACCCGAUGGUAUAAAGAGUUCGCAUGUUCUCUUUAUUAAAGAAUUUCGGUAAGCGAUGGGAUGCGUUCCAUUAGAUAGUUGGCGGGGUAACGGCCCACCAAGUCUACGAUGGAUAGGGGUUCUGAGAGGAAGGUCCCCCACAUUGGAACUGAGACACGGUCCAAACUCCUACGGGAGGCAGCAGUGAGGAAUAUUGGUCAAUGGACGAGAGUCUGAACCAGCCAAAAGUAGCGUGAAGGAUGACUGCCCUAUGGGUUGUAAACUUCUUUUAUAAGGGAAUAAAGUGAGGGACGUGUCCCUUUUUGUAUGUACCUUAUGAAUAAGGAUCGGCUAACUCCGUGCCAGCCGCCGC
Molecule: ribosomal RNA, 519 nt
Filed under: uncultured bacterium
Lineage: Bacteria
Description: bacterial SSU rRNA
Rfam family: Bacterial small subunit ribosomal RNA
Source: RNAcentral